This 484-nucleotide ribosomal RNA is filed under the name uncultured bacterium. Its description in RNAcentral is "partial 16S ribosomal RNA". It matches the Rfam family "Bacterial small subunit ribosomal RNA", at positions 29 to 523 of the family's 1533-position model. The record is from RNAcentral.
AGUGAACGCUGGCGGCGUGCUUAACACAUGCAAGUCGAACGAGAACGGAUUAUAGCUUGCUAUAAUUGUCAGCUAAGUGGCGCACGGGUGAGUAAUGUAUAGGUAAUAUGCCUCUUACUAAGGGAUAACAAUUGGAAACGAUUGCUAAUACCUUAUAUUCCUUUUUAUCAAAAGAUAAAAAGGGAAAGAUUUAUUGGUAAGAGAUUAGCCUGUAUUGUAUCAGUUAGUUGGUGGGGUAAUGGCCUACCAAGACGAUGACGCAUAACUGGUUUGAGAGGAUGAUCAGUCACACUGGAACUGAGACACGGUCCAGACUCCUACGGGAGGCAGCAGUGGGGAAUAUUGCACAAUGGACGAAAGUCUGAUGCAGCAACGCCGCGUGGAGGAUGACACAUUUCGGUGCGUAAACUCCUUUUAUAUAAGAAGAUAAUGACGGUAUUAUAUGAAUAAGCACCGGCUAACUCCGUGCCAGCCGCCGCGGUAA